Molecule: long non-coding RNA, 1454 nt
Organism: Amphiprion ocellaris (clown anemonefish)
Lineage: Eukaryota; Metazoa; Chordata; Actinopteri; Pomacentridae
Exons: 3
Source: RefSeq, a predicted model, not a curated record
ACACGUAACAAUUCAUUCUGUGCUAUUUUUCAAUGUGAGUCAGUGAGUGACCGGUGACUGGCUGCUGCAGCCAAUGAUGCGAUUCACAUACGUAUUUACCAUAGACUGUAUAUAAUGGUAUUUACGCAGCUAAUCAACGUCAGACGUCCUUAUGUGCAGCCACCAUUGUUCUCAUAGAUAUGAAUGAGUAGAUAGGAUACGCCCCUUUGAGCUGCGGCUACAGCGAGGCUAAGCUAGUGGGGGCAAAGUUUCAGUGCAUUCCGUUGAUGUAGACGGCGUGAAAACGUAAAUAACAAGUAUGCCGGCUCACUGUGCUGCAUACAGUUACACACUACGUCAUACGAUUGAGACAAUGAAACCUGGAAUGACUUUUCAUAGGUUUCCCAGAGACUAUGGGUUGAGGAGGAAGUGGAAGUUUGUCGGCUUAGACCUGGUGUCAUUCCAUCAGUGUUAAACUUCCCGGCUCAUCUUGGAAGAGUACGUGCCAGAAAGACCACGAACAAGCAGCCUUGAGAUCUUAGACAGCGUCUCCCUCAGGUCCCUCUCUAUCUCCCUACACAUCCACCAACCACUGGAACACAUCUCCAAAGUUCUGCUGGGCCAGCUCAGCUUCCCCUCAGAAGAAGUGGCGCCACCUGCCAGAUGAAGGAGCCUUUUGAGAGGCAGCUGGCAUCGUGAUUGGACUGUACUUUGGUCUGUUCCAAUCCAGCUUCAGCUCCAGAGACGGCAGGCGGGACGAGUCAACGGAGGCCGGGUGGACGAAGGCAUGAAGCUGAGUACAAUCCAGAAAACAACAAAUAACAAGUCAAAGGAAAGAGACAUACAUUGUAGAAUUGCAGUAAUCGUGGGCAGACUGAUUUACUGAUUAUCAGUAUUUUAUUUUUUACUGGUAAUGAAUACAUUUACUUUGACUCUGAACCUUUAUCUACCUGUGGUCGCUCUGUCUUCUGGAGUGAUUUGAUUGAUUAUAUGUCACAAAAACGUCUCCUUUAACUUAACAUCUGUAAACAAAACAAAAACGUAUCAACAAAGUUUUCUGUUAGAGUUUGUGUUCUUCUAAGUUUAACUCCAAGAUUUUAAAUACUUUCAUUUACUGCAAAUGUCUCACUAAUAAUCAUUAUCAGCCUUAAAAACCCACAAAACACCCCUCUAUACUCGACCACGCUUAGUACAGCCCCGUUCCCCCUUCUAUAAAUCUGCUUGGAAUCUUCCACUUCCUGUUUGUCAAAGUGGCCUUCUACCUGGACAGGUUUUGUUGGAGCUCAUGCAACAAACAUUUUGGGUAACUACACUUUAAUAUGGAUGGAUGACACUGAAUUAGAGUCUGUUUUAAUGAGACUGAGUUAAGAUGUGUAGCUCUGUCAUUAAAUUGGAAAUUAUUUCUCAGAAUUCACAGAGAAAAGUCUGAAAUGUUUGCUAGGUUAGCAUCCCACAUGUUCUUUGGCUCAGCUAAA